UACGUAGGUGGCAAGCGUUGUCCGGAUUUACUGGGCGUAAAGAGUAUGUAGGCGGAUAUUUAAGUCAGAUGUGAAAUUCCCGGGCUUAACCUGGGCGCUGCAUUUGAAACUGGGUAUCUAGAGUGCGGGAGAGGAAAGUGGAAUUCCUAGUGUAGCGGUGAAAUGCGUAGAGAUUAGGAAGAACACCAGUGGCGAAGGCGACUUUCUGGACCGUAACUGACGCUGAGAUACGAAAGCGCGGGGAGCAAACAGGAUUAGAUACCCGGGUAGUCCCUGAG
This 278-nucleotide ribosomal RNA is filed under the name uncultured prokaryote. RNAcentral's name for it is "partial 16S ribosomal RNA". It matches the Rfam family "Bacterial small subunit ribosomal RNA", at positions 524 to 801 of the family's 1533-position model. The record is from RNAcentral.